AUCAACGUUGGCGGCGCGCCUAACACAUGCAAGUCGAGCGAGAAAGUGUAGCAAUACAUGAGUACAGCGGCGUACGGGUGAGUAACACGUGGGUAAUCUACCUUUUGGUGGGGAAUAACUCUGGGAAACCGGAGCUAAUACCGCAUAAUCCCGCAAGGGAAAAGUCGAAAGACGCCGAUUGAGGAGCCCGCGGCUGAUUAGCUAGUUGGUGGGGUAAUGGCUCACCAAGGCUAAGAUCGGUAGCCGGCCUGAGAGGGCACACGGCCACACUGGCACUGAAACACGGGCCAGACUCCUACGGGAGGCAGCAGUGGGGAAUCUUGCACAAUGGGGGAAACCCUGAUGCAGCGACGCCGCGUGAGCGAUGAAGCCCUUCGGGGUGUAAAGCUCUUUCGACGGGAACGAUUAUGACGGUACCCGGAGAAGAAGCUGCGGCUAACUACGUGCCAGCAGCCGCGGUAAUACGUAGGCAGCAAACGUUGUUCGGAAUUACUGGGCGUAAAGAGUGUGUAGGCGGUCUUGUAAGUUUGGUGUGAAAUCUCCCGGCUUAACUGGGAGGGUGCGCCGAAAACUGCAAGGCUUGAGUACUGGAGAGGAUAGCGGAAUUCCUGGUGUAGCGGUGAAAUGCGUAGAUAUCAGGAGGAACACCGGCGGUGUAGACGGCUGUCUGGACAGUAACUGACGCUGAGACACGAAAGCGUGGGGAGCAAACAGGAUUAGAUACCCUGGUAGUCCACGCCCUAAACGAUGCAUACUUGGUGUGGGUGAUUCAUUUUAUCCGUGCCGGAGCUAACGCGUUAAGUAUGCCGCCUGGGGAGUACGGUCGCAAGGCUGAAACUCAAAUGAA
RNAcentral lists this ribosomal RNA (847 nucleotides) under uncultured bacterium. Its description in RNAcentral is "bacterial SSU rRNA". It matches the Rfam family "Bacterial small subunit ribosomal RNA", at positions 29 to 909 of the family's 1533-position model. The record is from RNAcentral.